CUCCAAAUGCAAAAUUUCCUUCGCAAAAGAUGUAUGUCUUGAAGUUGCCCUUCCAGCCGCACCUUCCGAUCUUCAAAAGCUUGCGUAAGACUCCUCUUAAACUCAAAAGAGUAACAGUAGAUCUCAAAUUGACACCUUAACUUCAAACGGCUAUAACUUAUGCACCCUAACUUCAAACCCUAUAAAAUUUGUACAAAAAUUGUAGCCAAAAUCCUAAAUGUUACAAC
RNAcentral lists this long non-coding RNA (227 nucleotides) under Physcomitrium patens. Its description in RNAcentral is "long non-coding RNA (PPAT_LNC004796)". The record is from RNAcentral. Lineage: Eukaryota; Viridiplantae; Streptophyta; Bryopsida; Funariales; Funariaceae.